This is a long non-coding RNA of Myotis lucifugus (little brown bat), 155 nucleotides long. RefSeq lists it as uncharacterized. The transcript has 2 exons. Lineage: Eukaryota; Metazoa; Chordata; Mammalia; Chiroptera; Vespertilionidae. The record is from RefSeq and is a predicted model, not a curated record.
AGUUAUUAUUUUUUUUUCGGAAUUGAAUUUAUUGGGGGACACAUCGGUGAAUAAAAUGAAAUGAAAUGCAAUAGGAUAAAAUGAAAGGCCUGGCCUUGCAAACUCAGACACCUCAAGUGACCACCCAGGAUGUUCUGAAUUUAAAAAAAAAAAAA